UUUGGUUUGUCUUAUAACAUCAGUUAGUGUGUGUUAAAUGGAGUUAUCAGAUGUUUGGUUUGGCAUUUAUAGUUUUCGACAGGCCCAAGUUAAAGAGAGAGGCCCGCCUUAAAUGUUCAGAUAGUGCCAUUUAGCAUAUCUUCCAAAAUUGGUCUGAUACAUAUCUGACUUGUUCAUAUUGAUUGGAAAUUUCCCCAAUUAACCCCAAGCCUGCGAUUUUUCUUGCCCAACAAUUCAAUUUGACGACAUUUUCGCUCCUCUUCCUUCUUCGCGUCGGAGAAGACUGACCCAAGGAGAAAGCUCGCUAAUUCCGGCAAUGGCGGCAAUUUUCAGUUGACGAGAAAUUGCUGAAUUUCUUCCCCAUUGCUGAAUUGCUGAAUUUCGAGCUUACCUCCUUCGAGAAAACGUGGUGCUUGGCUUUGAGAAAGAGUUUCAACCGAUGAAUGGUGAAGAUGCAACCGCUUGUGUUAAAAAAUGGGUGAAACAUAAAAAUUUCAUGGGCAAAAAUGUCUUUUUCAUAUCUCACUUUUGCUAAAUGGGAAACCAAACAUCAAAUACCAAAUAUCAAGAAAUGAUAAAUGGUAAACCAAACAAGGAGAAUCAGUUUUUGUAACCUAAGAAAUGGUUUAGCAUUUCUUGCCCAACACCAUUUCUUAACAAAUGGUAUAUGAUGAACCAAAAA
Long non-coding RNA from Salvia splendens (bonfire salvia), 682 nucleotides. RefSeq lists it as uncharacterized. The transcript is spliced from 2 exons. NCBI's taxonomy places the organism in Eukaryota, Viridiplantae, Streptophyta, Magnoliopsida, Lamiales, Lamiaceae. The record is from RefSeq and is a predicted model, not a curated record.